GAUGAAGAACGCAGCGAAAUGCGAUAAGUAGUGUGAAUUGCAGAAUUCAGUGAAUCAUCGAAUCUUUGAACGCACAUUGCGCCCCUUGGUAUUCCAUGGGGCAUGCCUGUUCGAGCGUCAUUUGUACCUUCAAGCUUUGCUUGGUGUUGGGUGUUUGUCUCGCCUUUGCGUGUAGACUCGCCUUAAAGUAAUUGGCAGCCGGCGUAUUGAUUUCGGAGCGCAGUACAUCUCGCGCUUUGCACUCAUAACGACAGCGUCCAAAAGUACAUUUUACACUCUUGACCUCGGAUCAGGUAGGGAUACCCGCUGAACUUAAGCAUAUCAAUAAGCGGAGGA
RNAcentral lists this unclassified non-coding RNA (336 nucleotides) under soil metagenome. RNAcentral describes it as "partial contains 5.8S ribosomal RNA, internal transcribed spacer 2, and large subunit ribosomal RNA". The stretch from base 1 to 120 matches the Rfam family "5.8S ribosomal RNA", at positions 35 to 154 of the family's 154-position model. The record is from RNAcentral.